Molecule: non-coding RNA, 1652 nt
Organism: Cinara cedri
Lineage: Eukaryota; Metazoa; Arthropoda; Insecta; Hemiptera; Aphididae
Source: the annotation of a GenBank genome assembly
AAGUAAAUGCCUAUAUUUAACAUUACAAUUUUAAAUUAAAGAUUUAAAACUUAUUUUUUAUUAAAAUGGUACAUAUAGGAAUAUCAUAGUAUGCAAAGAAUUCCAGAAUUCUGUAGUAUUAUGUAGUCAAUCUUUUUUAAUUCAUUAUUAUUAUUAUUUUGCAGGCUGCCUAUUCAGUGGUUUAACAGCCAGUCAGGCCAGCUGCAACAUAGACCACACCAAGAUGCCGAACUAACAUUUAUUGUCCAAGUAAGAAAAUAUGGGCUAUGGCUUUACAUGGGUUUGAUCCAGGAUAUAACCAUAGAUUUAAUUUAAUAUAUUAUUAAUUAAAUUUCUACAAUAUUUGUCAGUGACCUAUUCCACCAUCCCCUAACUUUUCAGUAUAGAUACUUAUUUUAAAAUUCCAGACUUUCAAAAGUUUUAUAUUUUACAGCUUAAGAGCUGUUUUGUUAGUUUAGAUUUUUAAUUUAUAACUAUGAAAUACUAUUUAUAGACUUACUUUUAUGUAUAAUAAAAGAAAUAAACAUAUUUUAUUAAAAAAAAAAAACAAAUAAACUUGAAUAAUGUACCAAUACAAUCAAUAAAAAAAAAAAAGUUUGGACUCAACACUUGCAUAUAAAUAUGUAAUUCAAAACAAACUGUUUUGAUUUUCAACAUUUGAUACUUACAAUUAUUUUCAAAAAGUUUAUUAGUUUUGACAUACUGUGAUUGUUAUAUUCAUAGGGUCGUGGUGUUCUUGUCUAUUGAUUAUGUAAAUAUGUGCUAAUGUUUAAAUUUACUCGGUGAUGUUAAGAUAUAUAGGAAAAGAAUCAAAAAAGCUAAUAAAAUAAUAAAUUAAAAAUAAAAUUAUUAAAAUGGCCAAUACUCUUAAAUACAUAUAUAAAUAAAAAAUUCAUAUAUAAAACUAAAAAAUGAAUGAAUGCGUCGCCUGGAGUAUUAUGAUAAGUGUAUUUUAUGACCGGUUUCGAAUUUAAAAUAUUCAUCAAGUAUAUCACAUUUAAAAUGUAAAACGAGAUUGAAUAUAAAAAAAUUAAAGAAAGGAAUACAUAGAAAAAAAAAUUAUACAAGGUCGUUUUACAUAGAAAUAAUUUAUUUUAAUAGUACAGAUUGUUUAACAUGUGUUAUUAUUAGACAUAAAUAUAUUAAAAAUAUAAAUUAUUUGGUUAUUAUUUGUUAUCUGAAAUAUAUUAAUAAUAAGGUAUUAUUUUUAAAGUCUGUUUGUAAAUUUAAAAUAUCAAAAUUAUUUUUCUUUAUUUCAUGUUGUAUAUUUAAUUCUUCUAAAAUUGAAUUAGUGUUAAUGUUAUUUUGGUUAUUUAAUAUCUCUAACUCUGUAUAAAUAUCAAAGCUUAUAUUAUGGUUACUUUUUAAAAUAUGUUUAGCGAAAUUUGAAUUAGUGGCAGUCUUUUUAAAUUUUAUUUCAAAAAUGUGUUCUUUAUAUCUUAUUUUAAAAUUUCUAUUUGUCUUACCUAUGUACAAUUUAUUACAGUUACAAUGAAGUUCAUAUACCAACAUCAGGGGCUACAGGUAGGACUACAGGUUGGGUUACAGGCCAGUCUGCGAUUUGUAUACAUCAGGCCAUUAGAGUGAGGAUUAAAGACUAAAAACUAAAUGAAUAACAACAGUCUAUUUCCUAAAAUGUAUAUCUGUAUACA